GAAAUUGCCUCAGCCACCUCAGCCUUGAGCAGUUGCCACCCUGAUCAGUCAGCAACCUUCAUCAACACUGGAGCAAGACCCUCCACCAGCAAAAAAGAUUAUUCUAACUUAUUGAAGGCUCAGAUGGUGCUUCGCAUUUUUAGCAGUAAAAUGUUUUUAUUUUUUCAAUAAAGUAUCUUAAGAUUAAGGUAUGAACAUUUUUUAGGUAUAAUGCUAUUGCACACUCAACAGACUAUAGUAGAGUGUGAACACAAUUUUUAUAUACACUGAGCAACCAAAAAAUUCAUGUGUCUUGCUUUUUUUGAGAUAUUUGUUUUAUUGCGGUGAUCUACCACUGGACCCACAAUAACUCUACUGAUCUUAACUUUGAUUAAAUAAAGUGUAUACAUGUUUUCUUUCUCUUCUUCCUCCUCCUUCAAAAUCUUUGCUUUCUGUCUUAAUAAAAACUCUAAGACAGAAGGUCAAGGGCUAAGCAAAGAGGGUUCAGUGACUUACCCAGGAUCACACAGUUAGGAAGUGUCUGAGGCCAGAUUUGAACCUAGGUUCUUGAACUCCAAGCCUGGCAUUUUAUCUACUGUGCCACCUAGCUGCCCCUCCAUGCUUUAUUUUUUUUUUUAAGGAUUCUAAAGAGCCUUGUGAAAUGUAACAAAAUGGCAAAUAUUGAGAAGGAAAAGUGUUGGAUUUUGUCAUAGAAGUUUGGUUUAAAACCUAGUUUUGUCACUUAUGACAUUGGACAAAUUACUCCUUUUCUUGGGCCUUUUCUCAUUUGUAACACUGAAUCAGGGUUAAACUUAACUCCCUAUGAGUUCUGGAUGUGAGCCCACAAGAUGCCCUUUGUGAGAUCUAGAGGGUCAGAGAGUCUAUUGAGUUUUGAGAGAGAGAGAGAGAGAGAGAGAGAGAGAGAGAGAGAGAGAGAGAGAGAGAGAGAGAGAGGGAGGAUGGGAGGGAGGGAGAAAGAGAGAGAGAGAGGAUGGGAGGGGAGAGAAAGAGGAGGGGAGAGGGAGAGGGGAAGAGGAGAAAGAAAAAAAUUAAAGAGAGGAAAAAGAGAGAAUGGAGAAAGUGGGGCAGUGGGAUAAUCAGGAAUGUCCAUUCGGCAUCUUGGUCCUGUGAAGGCAAAUUGGAUUUGACCUCCCCAGCCCUGCUGUUCCAGUCCCGUCUGGAAAAUUCUUCUGAGCUAUGAAUGCUGAUUAUCUUGAAUGUGUCCAUUUAUGUGGGGUUUUCUGUGAGCCAGACAAACAUGGCCUGAGGCUGCCAAAGCCAUUUCACUGAUGAUUGUCUUUGGAGGAGGAUGGCUUGGCCAAUGGGCUAAUGUAUAAGUAUGGGUGGGUGUCUUUCUCCACCACCAUGACAGAGACCAUGAUGUAGCCCAGGCCAUUCCUUUUGGUGCUCUUCAGGAUGGAUCAGGACUUCUUCUGGCCAUAAACACAUUAUUUUGGAGCACAUGGCAUAUGGGGGAUAUUUUACAUGUACAAAUAGAGAUGAGGGUGAGAAGGUUCCUGCUUUCUUCUCACCCACAAAAUGUGCAUCAUCCUUUGGCAGAGGAAUCCGUGCCCUAUUUUGGUAUUUUCAUAGCUGUCUUGAAGGGAGGCGUGGGGUAGUGAGUAAAGAGCUGAUCCUGAG
Monodelphis domestica (gray short-tailed opossum) is the source of this 1620-nucleotide long non-coding RNA. Lineage: Eukaryota; Metazoa; Chordata; Mammalia; Didelphimorphia; Didelphidae. The record is from Ensembl.